Molecule: long non-coding RNA, 282 nt
Organism: Eriocheir sinensis (Chinese mitten crab)
Lineage: Eukaryota; Metazoa; Arthropoda; Malacostraca; Decapoda; Varunidae
Exons: 3
Source: RefSeq, a predicted model, not a curated record
UCUGCCUAGGAGAGCAAACUCCGAACAACAAACCCGGGCAGGUGGAGCUCGUCAGCCGUGGUAGGCAAUCUUCCUAGGAGAGCAAACUCCGAACAACAAACCCGGGCAGGUGGAGCUCGUCAGCCGUGGUAGGCAGUCUGCCUAGGAGAGCAAACUCCGAACAAUAAACCCGGGCAGGUGGAGGUCGUCAGCCGUGGUAGGCAGUCUGCCUAGGAGAGCAAACUCCGAACAAUAAACCCGGGCAGGUGGAGCUCGUCAGCCGUGGUAGGCAGUCUGCCUAGG